Molecule: long non-coding RNA, 929 nt
Filed under: Pongo abelii (Sumatran orangutan)
Lineage: Eukaryota; Metazoa; Chordata; Mammalia; Primates; Hominidae
Description: lincRNA
Source: RNAcentral
AUCGCCCUGCAGGAAUCACAGCCAGAUGGGGGCUUCCCAAGCGCUGCCCACCUGGCUGGCACGCAGGAGGAAGUGGCAUAGACUGGGGAGGAGGAAGCACUCUCACUCCUGCUGGAGCCUCUUCUCCAGCAGGAACCCCGAUUGGCCCAGCCAUCCCUGGGGAGCCCCAUCCCACGUGCCCCGCACCCCGUGUCUGUCAGCACCGAUCAGGGUCUCCCAGACACCUGCUCUGGGGUUGCCAUGGGGACGAGCGGCAGGGUGAGUGUGGCGCACACAGCUGUCUGUGGACACACAAAGGGCAUGCACACAUGUGUCUGUGCUCACCUGCACGUGUUCACAUGGACUGGGCACCGCCGGAGGUGUCCACACAGCAGUGUACACGGACCCCCCUGCAGAUGUGCACACACCCAGCAAGGCAUGUAUGUGUUCUCGCACCAGGAAGUGGGUCACGCCCCACACCACACACCGUACACUCUGUCCCUGGAGCACGCACCUGCCUGGGUGCACCAGGCAGUCUAAGCCCAUGUCGCCUAUGUGUACAUGUAUGUGCAAAUACCUACUCAGGCACACCAGUGUGUGUACACGGCUGCCAGGCACACUGGGCAGUCCAAGCCCAUGUCACCUAUGUGUACACGCCUGCCCAGGCUCUUGGAAUCAGGCACUUUCUGAGGCUGCCCCGAUGGGCGUUCCCUUCCCCAGCCAGUACAUCCUCUCUUCCUAACCCCACGUCUGCUGGACUCUGAAGGUGUCCACGCGGCCAUGAACAUCUCCAGGGCCUGCACUGCCCACCACCAGGACCCCAGCGGAACCCAGCAUCUGGUCACUAGGGAUCUGCGUGGGCAGUCACUUCCUAGGGGCCUGUACCCCUUAAGGAGAGUGAAGGAUGGGCCGGCCCAGCUGGGGCUGAAUCCUCACAGCCUUGUUCACGG